Molecule: transfer RNA, 63 nt
Filed under: Cyphonia clavata
Lineage: Eukaryota; Metazoa; Arthropoda; Insecta; Hemiptera; Membracidae
Description: tRNA-Glu
Source: RNAcentral
AUUCAUUUAGUUUAAGAAAACAUUUUAUUUUCAUUAAAAAAAAAGGAACCAACCUAAUGAAUU